This 1863-nucleotide ribosomal RNA is filed under the name Triticum aestivum (bread wheat). RNAcentral describes it as "partial small subunit ribosomal RNA". Lineage: Eukaryota; Viridiplantae; Streptophyta; Magnoliopsida; Poales; Poaceae. The record is from RNAcentral.
AUGGAUUUGCUUAAAUUUCUUGUGACGCCGCUGCUGCUAUCUCUUCUAACCUAUCAAACCUAUGUGGGCGCAGCAUCGGAUGAUGAAGAUUUCUCCAAACAAUGUUCAUCUCAGAGGUGCAGCAAACAUAGACCUGAGAUCCGGUUCCCGUUCCGGCUGUCAACUCAACCACCAUCAUGUGGCGCACCUGGCAUGCAGUUAUCAUGCUCCGGGGGUGACAUAAUCCUGGAUCACCCUGUUCUUGGCUCCUGCAAAGUGACCGAGAUCUAUUACAGACACCGUGUCAUCAACGUCACCCCGCUUGUGGAACCAGCGGCACAGUGCCCACUUCAGAAGCUCAUCUCAACAAAUUUAGCAACUGAUGUGUACGAACUACCUCCAUCACCAACGACCCUGGUACGUUGUUCAAGCGAAUUCAUACCUGCAGAUCCAUACAGUGUAGCUGGCCCAGCUGCUUGUCUCAGUAACAACGCAACCCAGUUCUGGUAUUUGGCGGCGUCAGCUUAUGCAUACAUAUAUGAUCUACCACGGGACUGUGAGGCCGUUUCUAGAGGCAUUCCAAUACCCUACAACUAUGAUAUAGAUGGCCCAGACAAAGGAAACAAGUUUGUCUUCAACAAAAAAGCGAGUACAGUCAUCAAUUUUGGUGAAACAACAUUCACUUGGCACCUCAGUAACCUUACCGAUGUCUGCCAACAGUGUGAACAUGAAGGUCGACACUGUGGAUUCAGUUCACGCAGCCGUCAAGCAUUCUGCCAGCCCCGUGGCACACAUGUCAUCCCAAUUGCAGCAGCAUCAUCUGUAGCUGCAUUUAUAGCUCUUUCAUUGGUGGUAGCCGCAACGCUCUACCUCUCCUUAAAGUCAAGGUAUAAUGAAGAGAUAAAUAAGAAGGUCGAAAUGUUUCUCAAGGCAUAUGGCACAUCGAAACCCACAAGGUACACUUUCCCCGAAGUUAGGAAGAUAGCAAGACGGUUCAAGGAUAAACUCGGCCAGGGUGGAUUUGGAAGUGUAUACAAAGGCGAGCUACAAAAUGGAGUUCCUGUGGCAGUCAAGAUGCUAGAGAGCUCUACAGGAGAGGGGGAGGAAUUCAUCAAUGAAGUUGCAACCAUUGGACUGAUCCACCAUGCAAAUAUCGUCCGUCUUUUGGGCUUUUGCUCCGAAGGAAUGAGACGGGCUCUUAUUUACGAAUUCAUGCCUAACGAGUCACUGGAGAAAUACAUAUUCCCACAUGUUUCCAAUAUUUCUCGACAACUCCUAUCACCAAAAAAAAUGCUAGAUAUUGCUUUAGGCAUUGCCCGAGGGAUGGAAUACCUGCACCAAGGCUGCAACCAGCGCAUCCUCCACUUUGACAUCAAGCCACAUAACAUCCUGCUGGACUACAACUUCAACCCAAAGAUCUCAGACUUUGGCCUUGCAAAGCUGUGUGCAAGGGACCAGAGCAUCAUUACCUUAACUGCAGCAAGAGGCACCAUGGGAUACAUCGCACCAGAGCUAUACUCUCGGAACUUUGGAGGGGUUUCGUACAAGUCAGAUGUGUACAGUUUCGGCAUGCUUGUGUUGGAAAUGGUCAGUGGAAAGAGGAACUCAGAUCCAAGUGUUGAGAACCAUGACGAGGUAUAUCUCCCGGAGUGGAUCUACGAGAGAGUAAUCAGUGGGCAUGAAUGUGAGCUCACUUCAGAAAUAACAGCAGAAGACAAAGAAAAGAUGAGGCAGCUGACUAUUGUGGCCCUGUGGUGUAUCCAGUGGAACCCGAAGAACCGGCCUUCAAUGACAAAGGUGGUAAACAUGUUAACCGGGAGGCUGCAGAAUCUACAGAUCCCACCUAAGCCGUUCAUCUCAUCUGGAAAUCAUCCUAUGCCCUAA